CGAAUUAUAAGCGGAGGUUGUCGCUGGCCCCUCGGGGGGCAUGUGCACGCCCGAGCUCUUAAUCCACUUACACCAGUGAACUCUUUGUGGGGAAACCGUCCGUCCUGGAGGGGAUUCUCAUGUAUUAUUCUAUAUACUCUUAUGCAUGUCUUCAGAAUGUCCUGAUGUUGCUCCAACGCAAUCAUAUAUAUAUACAACUUUCAACAACGGAUCUCUUGGCUCUCGCAUCGAUGAAGAACGCAGCGAAAUGCGAUAAGUAAUGUGAAUUGCAGAUUUUCAGUGAAUCAUCGAAUCUUUGAACGCACCUUGCGCUCCUUGGUAUUCCGAGGAGCAUGCCUGUUUGAGUGUCAUUAAAUUCUCAACUUCACCGAUUAGAUUCGAGUGGAAGCUUGGAGUUUGGAGCGUGCUGGCCCUUCCCGGGGUCGGCUCCUCUUUAAAUGCAGCAGCGGAGUCAUCUUUGACCUUGCGGCAUUGGCGUGAUAGUCGUUGUUGCGCCGUUGGCCCAAGGUCUCGGUCCGCUUACAAAAUGGUCUAGGGAUGACUUGGACAAUGAAAUGUUUGUUUGACCUCAAAUCAGGUAGGACUACCCGCUGAACUUAA
This 600-nucleotide ribosomal RNA is filed under the name uncultured Byssocorticium. RNAcentral's name for it is "eukaryotic LSU rRNA". The stretch from base 196 to 350 matches the Rfam family "5.8S ribosomal RNA". The record is from RNAcentral. Lineage: Eukaryota; Fungi; Basidiomycota; Agaricomycetes; Atheliales; Atheliaceae.